This is a long non-coding RNA of Oryzias latipes (Japanese medaka), 1186 nucleotides long. RefSeq lists it as uncharacterized. The record is from RefSeq and is a predicted model, not a curated record. Lineage: Eukaryota; Metazoa; Chordata; Actinopteri; Beloniformes; Adrianichthyidae.
CCCCCAGGAAGUAAUGACCAGAAACCAGCGGCAUGACCGUGCAGACGGCCGUGCUUUCUUCCUCUGUGGCGGCGAUGAUCUCAGAGGUCGUGUUGCUUCACAACAUUCCUCAUGAGCAGCAGUCAGGUGUGUUUCAGUGAGACAAAGACGCACAACCCUUCUUUCAUCAGGGGGUUUUCACAUCGCGACAGUCGAAUUCUGAUGACUUCCAAACCUUCAUCCUUAUUGCUUUGCUUGGCACUUUCAGGGAGAACCAAAGGCUGAGGCAGACCAAACCUCCUGGAAACACCCUGCAGCUCCAACAGCUGUGCACUUUGGGGGGGUUGUGGAGUUCUUUUUGUUUCAAAAGUAUUUUGUAAAAAAAAAAAGCUGAAAAUGCAGACAAAAUCUGUUUUUGCAUGACUAAUUUGUCCAUAUUGUAACAACAGCAAGGAGACAGAGACUUCCAAGCAGAUCAGACGCAGAUAAUUGGAUCUGCAUCAGACUUUUAAUGGCGUUAGUGCCUGCAGACAAACUCCAGUGUGAGCCAAGGAGGACCAAAGGUUCCAGAGUGAAGAUUUCCUCUGCUGAGAGCGUCCAUGAAAGCCCUGCCGCCCUGUCGCCCUUGAUCAGAGUCAAACUCCCUACCUGGAUACUGUCCUUUCUAAAUCUGCCUGCAGACUGGUUGGAAGGAGAGGGUGACCCAGUCAAAGGUGAUCAUCAACAAGCAUCAUUUACAAACAUCAAGAGGCAUGAGCGUCAACCAUGAAGAGAGAGUCCAUGAUGUCUGCAGGAACAAAGUUCUUUUCUGCUGAAGGAGCAGAUGACAUCCUAAAAGUCAUCAGACAUCAUUCUAGGCCCAGGACUACACUGAUUUAGCAGAGCCAAUCACUACAGUAGAGCACACGCAGACUGAUGAAGAUCAGGAUCAGGUCCAACCUGGUGAGAGCAGCUGCUCACAGAACAAAAAUGCUUCGUACUGAAAGCCGUCUGACACCAGUCCUACAAUCCAUCACAUGUUUUACUUAUGCUAAAGCACAGGGGCAUCCCAUCAUCAUCAUCAGGCAUCCCAUCCUCAUCAUCAGGCAUCCCAUCAUCAUCAUCAGGCAUCCCAUCAUCAUCAUCAUCAUCAGGCAUCCCAUCACUCAGGACAGUGUGGACUUUCUAAAGCUCUUUUAGCCUCUACCAUUAAAGCAUUUCAAACAUU